GUGGGGAAUCUUGCGCAAUGGGCGAAAGCCUGACGCAGCCAUGCCGCGUGAAUGAUGAAGGUCUUAGGAUUGUAAAAUUCUUUCACCGGGGACGAUAAUGACGGUACCCGGAGAAGAAGCUCCGGCUAACUUCGUGCCAGCAGCCGCGGUAAUACGAAGGGGGCUAGCGUUGCUCGGAAUUACUGGGCGUAAAGGGCGCGUAGGCGGACAGCUUAGUCAGAGGUGAAAGCCCAGGGCUCAACCUUGGAAUUGCCUUUGAUACUGGCUGUCUUGAGUUUGAGAGAGGUGCGUGGAACUCCGAGUGUAGGGGUGAAAUUCGUGGAUAAUCGGAAGAACACCAGUGGCGAAGGCGACUCACUGGCCCAAUACUGACGCUGAGGCGCGAAAGCGUGGGGAGCAAACAGGAUUAGAUACCCUAGUAGUCC
RNAcentral lists this ribosomal RNA (425 nucleotides) under uncultured bacterium. RNAcentral describes it as "partial 16S ribosomal RNA". It matches the Rfam family "Bacterial small subunit ribosomal RNA", at positions 354 to 796 of the family's 1533-position model. The record is from RNAcentral.